GCCAAUUUAGUUUCAAUCAGGUAAAAUAUUCUCUAAAUAAUGUCGAGAAAGAUACAGGUUCAAAUCCUGUAAUUGGAGCA
Molecule: transfer RNA, 80 nt
Filed under: Caudoviricetes sp.
Lineage: Duplodnaviria; Heunggongvirae; Uroviricota; Caudoviricetes
Description: tRNA-Ile
Rfam family: tRNA
About the family: Transfer RNA (tRNA) molecules are approximately 80 nucleotides in length.
Source: RNAcentral